GACGAACGCUGGCGGCGUGCUUAACACAUGCAAGUCGAACGAAGUGGCGCACGGGUGCGUAAUACGUGGUUAACCUGCCCUCCUUUUUGGGAUAAGCCUUGGUAACGGGGUCUAAUACCGACUAAAGGGUGAUGGGCUCGCGGCCUAUCAGCUGGUUGGUGGGGUGAUGGCCUACCACGGCGGUGACGGGUAGCCGGCCUGAGAGGGUGACCGGAAACAUUGGGAGUGAGAUACGGCCCAGAGUGGUACGGGAGGGAGCAGUGGGGGAUAGGGCACAAGGGGGGAAAGGCUGAUGCAGCGACGCGGAGUAGGGGAUGAAGGCGUUCGGGUUGUAAACCGCGGUCGAGAGCGAACGGGUAGGUGGAGAAGAAGCGCCGGCUAACUACGUGCCAGCAGCCGCGGUAAUAC
This 408-nucleotide ribosomal RNA is filed under the name uncultured bacterium. Its description in RNAcentral is "partial 16S ribosomal RNA". It matches the Rfam family "Bacterial small subunit ribosomal RNA", at positions 28 to 526 of the family's 1533-position model. The record is from RNAcentral.